GUCCAGACUCCUACGGGAGGCAGCAGUGGGGAAUAUUGCACAAUGGGGGAAACCCUGAUGCAGCGACGCCGCGUGAGUGAAGAAGUAUUUCGGUAUGUAAAGCUCUAUCAGCAGGGAAGAAAAUGACGGUACCUGACUAAGAAGCCCCGGCUAACUACGUGCCAGCAGCCGCGGUAAUACGUAGGGGGCAAGCGUUAUCCGGAUUUACUGGGUGUAAAGGGAGCGUAGACGGCAUGGCAAGUCAGAUGUGAAAGCCCGGGGCUCAACCCCGGGACUGCAUUUGAAACUGUCAGGCUGGAGUGCAGGAGAGGUAAGUGGAAUUCCCAGUGUAGCGGUGAAAUGCGUAGAUAUUAGGAGGAACACCAGUGGCGAAGGCGGCUUACUGGACUGUAACUGACGUUGAGGCUCGAAAGCGUGGGGAGCAAACAGGAUUAGAUACCCCCGUA
This 446-nucleotide ribosomal RNA is filed under the name uncultured bacterium. Its description in RNAcentral is "bacterial SSU rRNA". It matches the Rfam family "Bacterial small subunit ribosomal RNA", at positions 329 to 792 of the family's 1533-position model. The record is from RNAcentral.